This is a long non-coding RNA of Bombyx mori (domestic silkworm), 912 nucleotides long. RefSeq lists it as uncharacterized. Lineage: Eukaryota; Metazoa; Arthropoda; Insecta; Lepidoptera; Bombycidae. The record is from RefSeq and is a predicted model, not a curated record. The transcript is spliced from 2 exons.
AAAAAAAAAAAAAAGGUAUACAUUAUAAUAACAUUUUGACACAGUCGAAAUUAUAUUCCUAACAUUAGUAAAAUAACAUUUUAAUAUUUUUUUUAUAGGUUAUGUAUUGAAAUUGUUGGAAAAUUAUUUCAUGUUUUAGCUGGAAAACGACAUGGAGAAUUAUAUGCAAUACAAGAUAAUGAGCUCCAUCAAAUGAAUUCGAAUGAAACCAAACUGUUUACCAUCCAAAUUCGAUUGUCGGGCAGAUAGAAAACGAAAAUUCACUCAUAGUGAACCUCGGCCUGCAUUUGUGAAACGGCAAAGACUCACUAUUAUCAAGGAAAUUGAAGAGACGACUAAAAAUGAGAUGUGUCGUAUUAUUAUACCUUUGCCAUCUUGUAGUCAAGAUGUCCAGCCACUUGAAAAUAGGUGUAGUAAUGACAAAGCCAUCCAAGUAGCUCCAGCACAGGAACACAAAGGCAAGGCAAGUGUGUAUUGCCACAUCACCCCUUAAUAUAUCUGAAGCAAGUAUAAGUAAACAAUCAGAACCAGCAAAAAAAAAAACUGUUGUUCCUGAGGACAAAUUUGACAGUGAUGAGUCAAAUGCACCAGCAACAGAAGGAUCAACUGUUGACUAGGGGUUAUAGAAGAAGAAGAUUAAUUCAUAUUAAUAUGUAAUAAUUAUAUAUUAAUAUAUUAAUAAUUAAUAAUAAUAUAAUAAUUAUCGUGCAAAAUUCGUGGUCAAAACAUAUGUGUAUUUUAUAAAUAAAUAUUCAUUCUCAGUAUUAAUGUUGUUUUAAUCAUCGAUUGAAAAAUUGGUUCUUAAUGAAUUUAGUUGGAGCUAAAUGCUGCUUGGAGCUUAAUACUUUCGAAUAACAUAAACACGUGACUUUAAGCAUAAACAUAUUUUUUAGGUAAAUACUUUAUUUAGCU